CGGGACGGGUGAGUAACGCGUGGGUAACCUGCCUCAUACAGGGGGAUAGCAGCUGGAAACGGCUGGUAAUACCGCAUAAGCGCACAGUACCACAUGGUACAGUGUGAAAAACUCCGGUGGUAUGAGAUGGACCCGCGUCUGAUUAGCUGGUUGGCGGGGUAACGGCCCACCAAGGCGACGAUCAGUAGCCGACCUGAGAGGGUGACCGGCCACAUUGGGACUGAGACACGGCCCAG
Molecule: ribosomal RNA, 236 nt
Filed under: uncultured bacterium
Lineage: Bacteria
Description: partial 16S ribosomal RNA
Rfam family: Bacterial small subunit ribosomal RNA
Source: RNAcentral